This 370-nucleotide ribosomal RNA is filed under the name Pseudomonadota bacterium. Its description in RNAcentral is "bacterial SSU rRNA". It matches the Rfam family "Bacterial small subunit ribosomal RNA", at positions 1 to 381 of the family's 1533-position model. Lineage: Bacteria; Pseudomonadati; Pseudomonadota. The record is from RNAcentral.
UAAGUGAAGAGUUUGAUCCUGGCUCAGAUUGAACGCUGGCGGAAUGCUUAACACAUGCAAGUCGAACGGUAACAGCAGAAGCUUGCUUCUGGCUGACGAGUGGCGGACGGGUGAGUAACGCGUGGGAAUCUACCCUUUAGCGGGGGACAACUCGAGGAAACUCGAGCUAAUACCGCAUAAUCCCUUCGGGGCAAAGGCUUCGGCCACUAUUGGAUGAGCCCGCGUCCGAUUAGCUUGUUGGUAGGGUAAUGGCCUACCAAGGCAACGAUCAGUAGCUGGUCUGAGAGGAUGAUCAGCCACACUGGGACUGAGACACGGCCCAGACUCCUACGGGAGGCAGCAGUGGGGAAUAUUGCACAAUGGGCGAAAG